RNA transcript from Abrus precatorius (Indian licorice), 3010 nucleotides. It is a transcript of the gene named regulator of MON1-CCZ1 complex, with no coding region annotated. The record is from RefSeq and is a predicted model, not a curated record. Lineage: Eukaryota; Viridiplantae; Streptophyta; Magnoliopsida; Fabales; Fabaceae. The transcript is spliced from 15 exons.
AAUAGUGUAGCUGCAACUGGGCACGCAAGUAAUGCGACUGGUAGGUAGUUCCACUGCAGCAUUGUGGUUUGUUCGUUACUAUGAAUUGAAUAGAGAAGAUGAAUAAACAGAAGAGACUCGCUUCGUGAUCUGCUAUUAAUUCUGUUGCAGAAUGCAUAUGACCGAUUCUUGAUGUGUUGUGGACAUGAAGGAAAAGAAGAAUACUGCCUCAACUCUCAAGCGCAUUUUAGUGAAUUGUUCAUCUCAGGCAAAGGCAUACGGGAGCUGUAUUGCAGCAAAGGUUCCAGACAUUGAACGUGAUGUGUGUGUGAAGGAAUUUCUGGCAUUAAAAAGUUGUAUGCAGAAUAUGCUCAAAAAGAAGGUUUAGUGAACAUCCACUUGUUUCCUUGUUCUGGGCUACUGAAGAAACAAACUAGAAAGCUUGAAAGUUACGAAGAGCAGUUUUUUGUAGAAGUUUUCAGUCACAAGAAUAAGUGGAAGGUCCUACGUAUUUUUUCCAGCAUAGGACUCAACAUGUCUGGAAGAGCAUCAACUUCAAAGCCUAAUAUAGGUCUGAGCGGAUCUGAUGGUCUUUCACAUGCUUACACUCAGUAUCCACCACUGCGGUGCAAUGUUCCUGAAUCAAUCGGAAUAUUUUAUGAUGAUGGAAAUAAGUUGCUACUCUCCCCCACAGCUGAUCAGAUCUUUUCCUGGAAAGUUGGCCCCUUUGAUCCUCUCAUUGGUCCCACCACUGAUUUAAUAAGUGAAGGCCCUAUUGUAGCUAUUCGGUAUUCUUUAGACACAAAGGUAAUAGCAAUCCAACGAUCGAACCAUGAGAUACAGUUUUGGAAUAGACAGACUGGGGAAGCUUUUAGCCAUAAUUGCCGGCCAGAAUCAGAAAGUAUACUUGGAUUUUUUUGGACAGAUAGUCAACAGUGUGAUAUUGUUCUUGUUAAGACUAGUGGUCUAGACUUGUAUGCAUAUAAUUCAGAGUCAAAAUCACUGCAACUGGUGGAAACAAAGAAACUGAAUGUGAGUUGGUAUGUUUACACACAUGAAAGUCGCCUGGUUCUUCUUGCUUCUGGAAUGCAAUGCAAGACAUUCCAUGGAUUUCAGAUUUCAUCUGCAGAUAUUGUUCGCUUGCCAAGGUUUGAGAUGGUUAUGGCCAAAUCUGAGGCAAAUAAUAAGCCCGUUUUAGCAGCUGAAGACGUUUUUAUCGUCACUGUUUAUGGUAGGAUAUACUGCUUGCAAGUUGAUAGAGUUGCUAUGCUACUCCACUCUUAUAGGCUAUAUCGUGAUGCUGUGAUACAGCAGGGUUCUUUACCAAUUUAUUCCAGCAAGAUUGCUGUGAGUGUGGUCGACAAUGUACUUCUUAUUCAUCAAGUUGAUGCAAAGGUUGUUAUACUUUAUGAUCUCUUUGCAGAUUCUCGAGCACCAAUAUCUGCACCACUUCCUUUAUUAUUAAGGGGUUUCCCCAGGUCCAGCACUUUAUCUCAAUCUAGUGGUAGAGAAAGUCAGAGUUCAGGCAGUAAUGUUAUGAGUAAUCCUGAAGCAGUUACCUACGCCAAUACAUGGACUUUCCUAGUGCCUGACCUCGUAUGUGAUGUGGCCAAUAAGUUAUUGUGGAAGUUCUAUAUAGACUUAGAGGCAAUUUCUGCUAGUAGCUCAGAGGUCCCAUCAUUAAUAGAGUUCCUGCAGCGGCGGAAGUUGGAAGCUAACAAGGCUAAACAAUUGUGCUUGGGUAUAACACGUACACUUAUUCUGGAGCAUAGGCCUGUGUCUGCAGUUGCUAAGGCUAUAAAUGUACUACUUUCCUCGUACUCCCAUUCAAUUAAAACUGGUAGCUAUCUUAAAGGGCUGAAACCAGAGAAGGCAACAGCUGCUGGUGUACAAAAUGCAGGUGCUGAUGUUUCUGCUAUAGGAACAGAUGUAACUGGAAAAUCUAUCAUACAUGAACCAACCACAAGAGUAGACAGUGGAUCUUUUAACAAGGCUUCAACUGUUUCAAGCUUGGAUUCCGAUGAUGAGUCCCAAUCUGCAAAUUCAAAACACAAUUCAAAGGUGGCCCAAGUUGGGGGUGAAGGGAACCGUGAGAUCUCCAUGAGAACUGAAGCUCAUAGGACUGAUGUUAUGCAAUCAUCUCUGCAGUCUGGACAAGAGGAAUCCCAACUUACUUCUGCAGCAAUUUCACCAGACGAGAUGUACAGCUUUGUCUUCUCUCCCAUUGAUGAAGAGAUGGUUGGAGACCCUUCUUACUUGGUUGCAGUCAUUAUUGAGUUCCUUCACAGAAAAGAUUCGUGUACUCCCAAAUCUAUAUGUAUUGAUAAUUCAACUUCUGGCCCGCAAUGAACGAUAUGCAGAGCUUGGGUUGUUUGUCAUAAACAAGAUUCUGGAGCCCUCUAAGGAAGUUGCAUUACAACUCCUAGAGUCUGGUCGUCAGAAUGCCCAAACUAGGAAGCUUGGUUUUGAUAUGCUGAGACAGCUUGGUUUACAUCACGAUUAUGUUUUACUGCUUGUGCAGGAUGGAUACUACCUUGAAGCCUUGCGAUACGCAAGGAAAUAUAGGGUGGAUACCAUACGGCCAUCAUUGUUCUUGGAAGCUGCGUUUGUUUCUAAUGACUCCCAACAUCUUGCUGCAGUUCUUAGAUUCUUUACAGAUUUCCUUCCUGGUUUCAAAAACACAUCAGAGUACAAUAGAUACUACCGCAUACUGAAUGAAAUGAACUCAUCCCUGACUGUUUGAGAAGUCUAACAAGAAAAAAUUGGGAGAAAUUGAGUCGUCGUCCCCUUGUUCAGCCAUGGGUUUUUGACGUUAUGAGUUAUGACAUCCGAUAUCUAUUAAGAUAUGUGAUAUAUUUGGUAAUAGUUUCGUGUUGUAUGUUAAAUAAAUCUCUUCCUAGUAAGAUUAGCUUUGGUAGAUACCGUGAUAUAAAUGAAAUUCUCCUGCAAUGAAAUUUUACCCUGGUCGAGUUUGUGGGUGCCUUGCAUAGUUGUUUAAUAUAUUAAUUUUCUGGGAGGGAAUAUUGAAUUU